CAGCCUGGUUGGCAAUCAGGAGGUGAGUGUAAGUGCACAAGGGAGCUUGACUGUGAGACUGACAGGUCGAGCAGGGACGAAAGUCGGGACAAGUGAUCCGGCACCUACUUGUGGAAGUGGUGUCGCUCAACGGAUAAAAGGUACCCCGGGGAUAACAGGCUGAUCUUCCACAAGAGUCCAUAUCGACGGGAUGGUUUGGCACCUCGAUGUCGGCUCGUCGCAUCCUGGGGCAGGAGUAAGUCUCAAGGGUU
RNAcentral lists this ribosomal RNA (251 nucleotides) under Corynebacterium diphtheriae. Its description in RNAcentral is "partial 23S ribosomal RNA". It matches the Rfam family "Bacterial large subunit ribosomal RNA", at positions 2323 to 2573 of the family's 2925-position model. The record is from RNAcentral. Lineage: Bacteria; Bacillati; Actinomycetota; Actinomycetes; Mycobacteriales; Corynebacteriaceae.